AACUUUCAAAGGUUUAGUUAUGAAGCCCUACCCAAUGGAAUGUUCCGUGUUCAACUAGAGAAUGAGACCCUCUUCCUAGGCUAUAUUUCAGGAAAGAUCCGGUCUAGUUCUAUACAAAUACUGAUGGGGUAUAGGGCCAAAAUUGAAGUGAGCCCUUAUGAUUCAAGUGUUUAUAUAAAAUGUUUGGAAAUCUCGAAAAUUGUUGGAAUUUUUAAAAAUGUUUGA
Molecule: ribosomal RNA, 225 nt
Filed under: Triticum aestivum (bread wheat)
Lineage: Eukaryota; Viridiplantae; Streptophyta; Magnoliopsida; Poales; Poaceae
Description: partial small subunit ribosomal RNA
Source: RNAcentral